This 556-nucleotide ribosomal RNA is filed under the name uncultured bacterium. RNAcentral's name for it is "bacterial SSU rRNA". It matches the Rfam family "Bacterial small subunit ribosomal RNA", at positions 102 to 694 of the family's 1533-position model. The record is from RNAcentral.
ACGGGUGCGUAACGCGUGGGAAUCUGCCCUCAGGUAUGGAAUAACUCAGGGAAACUUGAGCUAAUACCGUAUAAUGACUUCGGUCCAAAGAUUUAUCGCCUGAGGAUGAGCCCGCGUCGGAUUAGCUAGUUGGUGGGGUAAAGGCCUACCAAGGCUACGAUCCGUAGCUGGUCUGAGAGGAUGAUCAGCCACACUGGGACUGAGACACGGCCCAGACUCCUACGGGAGGCAGCAGUGGGGAAUAUUGGACAAUGGGCGAAAGCCUGAUCCAGCAAUGCCGCGUGAGUGAUGAAGGCUUAGGGUUGUAAAGCUCUUUUACCCGGGAUGAUAAUGACAGUACCGGGAGAAUAAGCCCCGGCUAACUCCGUGCCAGCAGCCGCGGUAAUACGGAGGGGGCUAGCGUUGUUCGGAAUUACUGGGCGUAAAGCGCACGUAGGCGGCUUUGUAAGUUAGAGGUGAAAGCCCGGGGCUCAACUCCGGAAUUGCCUUUAAGACUGCAUCGCUAGAAUUGUGGAGAGGUAAGUGGAAUUCCGAGUGUAGAGGUGAAAUUCGUAGA